GACGAACGCUGGCGGCGUGCUUAACACAUGCCAGUCGAACGGAAAGGCCCUGCUUUUGUGGGGUGCUCGAGUGGCGAACGGGUGAGUAACACGUGAGUAACCUGCCCUUGACUUUGGGAUAACUUCAGGAAACUGGGGCUAAUACCGGAUAGGAGCUCCUGCUGCAUGGUGGGGGUUCGAAAGUUUCGGCGGUUGGGGAUGGACUCGCGGCUUAUCAGCUUGUUGGUGGGGUAGUGGCUUACCAAGGCUUUGACGGGUAGCCGGCCUGAGAGGGUGACCGGCCACAUUGGGACUGAGAUACGGCCCAGACUCCUACGGGAGGCAGCAGUGGGGAAUAUUGCACAAUGGGCGGAAGCCUGAUGCAGCAACGCCGCGUGCGGGAUGACGGCCUUCGGGUUGUAAACCGCUUUCGCCUGUGACGAAGCGUGAGUGACGGUAAUGGGUAAAGAAGCACCGGCUAACUACGUG
RNAcentral lists this ribosomal RNA (468 nucleotides) under uncultured bacterium. RNAcentral describes it as "partial 16S ribosomal RNA". It matches the Rfam family "Bacterial small subunit ribosomal RNA", at positions 28 to 507 of the family's 1533-position model. The record is from RNAcentral.